GACGAACGCUGGCGGCGUGCUUAACACAUGCAAGUCGAACGGAAAGGCCCUGCUUUUGUGGGGUGCUCGAGUGGCGAACGGGUGAGUAACACGUGAGUAACCUGCCCUUGACUUUGGGAUAACUUCAGGAAACUGGGGCUAAUACCGGAUAGGAGCUCCUGCUGCAUGGUGGGGGUUGGAAAGUUUCGGCGGUUGGGGAUGGACUCGCGGCUUAUCAGCUUGUUGGUGGGGUAGUGGCUUACCAAGGCUUUGACGGGUAGCCGGCCUGAGAGGGUGACCGGCCACAUUGGGACUGAGAUACGGCCCAGACUUCUACGGGAGGCAGCAGUGGGGAAUAUUGCACAAUGGGCGGAAGCCUGAUGCAGCAACGCCGCGUGCGGGAUGACGGCCUUCGGGUUGUAAACCGCUUUCGCCUGUGACGAAGCGUGAGUGACGGUAAUGGGUAAAGAAGCACCGGCGAACUACGU
This 467-nucleotide ribosomal RNA is filed under the name uncultured bacterium. RNAcentral describes it as "partial 16S ribosomal RNA". It matches the Rfam family "Bacterial small subunit ribosomal RNA", at positions 28 to 506 of the family's 1533-position model. The record is from RNAcentral.